UUACAAAUCAGUUUAUGUUAAUUUUAAAAAAUUCAAGAAAAGAGGAGCGUACCUACCCGUUUAGAUGUACCGGUGUAGACUUUGUCCAUAUGAGCUUUUGAUCAUCUUUGCAUUAUUACCAUCAUUCCCUUUCCCACUAGCAGAUUUGUCUCUUAGCCAAUAAGAGAAACAAACACAAGAAGAAAGUUAAAACAAGUAAGAAACACAAAACAAGAAAGCAAAUG
This 224-nucleotide long non-coding RNA is filed under the name Brassica napus (rape). RNAcentral describes it as "long non-coding RNA (BNAP_LNC027169)". Lineage: Eukaryota; Viridiplantae; Streptophyta; Magnoliopsida; Brassicales; Brassicaceae. The record is from RNAcentral.